This 254-nucleotide ribosomal RNA is filed under the name uncultured bacterium. Its description in RNAcentral is "partial 16S ribosomal RNA". It matches the Rfam family "Bacterial small subunit ribosomal RNA", at positions 337 to 607 of the family's 1533-position model. The record is from RNAcentral.
GCCUACGGGACGCAGCAGUGGGGGAUAUUGCACAAUGGGGGAAACCCUGAUGCAGCGACGCCGCGUGAGUGAAGAAGUAUUUCGGUACGUAAAGCUCUAUCAGCAGGGAAGAAUAAUGACGGUACCUGACUAAGAAGCCCCGGCUAACUACGUGCCAGCAGCCGCGGUAAUACGCAGGGGGCAAGCGUUAUCCGGAUUUACUGGGUGUAAAGGGAGCGUAGACGGCUGUGCAAGUCUGAAGUGAAAUGCCGGGG